This 2132-nucleotide ribosomal RNA is filed under the name Salmonella enterica. Its description in RNAcentral is "partial 23S ribosomal RNA". It matches the Rfam family "Bacterial large subunit ribosomal RNA", at positions 689 to 2802 of the family's 2925-position model. RNAcentral also lists the same sequence under 1 other name. Lineage: Bacteria; Pseudomonadati; Pseudomonadota; Gammaproteobacteria; Enterobacterales; Enterobacteriaceae. The record is from RNAcentral.
UGGGCGUUAAGUUGCAGGGUAUAGACCCGAAACCCGGUGAUCUAGCCAUGGGCAGGUUGAAGGUUGGGUAACACUAACUGGAGGACCGAACCGACUAAUGUUGAAAAAUUAGCGGAUGACCUGUGGCUGGGGGUGAAAGGCCAAUCAAACCGGGAGAUAGCUGGUUCUCCCCGAAAGCUAUUUAGGUAGCGCCUCGUGAAUUCAUCUCCGGGGGUAGAGCACUGUUUCGGCUAGGGGGCCAUCCCGGCUUACCAACCCGAUGCAAACUGCGAAUACCGGAGAAUGUUAUCACGGGAGACACACGGCGGGUGCUAACGUCCGUCGUGAAGAGGGAAACAACCCAGACCGCCAGCUAAGGUCCCAAAGUCAUGGUUAAGUGGGAAACGAUGUGGGAAGGCCCAGACAGCCAGGAUGUUGGCUUAGAAGCAGCCAUCAUUUAAAGAAAGCGUAAUAGCUCACUGGUCGAGUCGGCCUGCGCGGAAGAUGUAACGGGGCUAAACCAUGCACCGAAGCUGCGGCAGCGACACUGUGUGUUGUUGGGUAGGGGAGCGUUCUGUAAGCCUGUGAAGGUGUGUCGUGAGGCAUGCUGGAGGUAUCAGAAGUGCGAAUGCUGACAUAAGUAACGAUAAAGCGGGUGAAAAGCCCGCUCGCCGGAAGACCAAGGGUUCCUGUCCAACGUUAAUCGGGGCAGGGUGAGUCGACCCCUAAGGCGAGGCCGAAAGGCGUAGUCGAUGGGAAACGGGUUAAUAUUCCCGUACUUGGUGUUACUGCGAAGGGGGGACGGAGAAGGCUAUGUUGGCCGGGCGACGGUUGUCCCGGUUUAAGCGUGUAGGUGUGUGUUCCAGGUAAAUCCGGUUCACUUUAACACUGAGGCGUGACGACGAGGCACUACGGUGCUGAAGCAACAAAUGCCCUGCUUCCAGGAAAAGCCUCUAAGCAUCAGGUAACAUCAAAUCGUACCCCAAACCGACACAGGUGGUCAGGUAGAGAAUACCAAGGCGCUUGAGAGAACUCGGGUGAAGGAACUAGGCAAAAUGGUGCCGUAACUUCGGGAGAAGGCACGCUGACACGUAGGUGAAGUGAUUUACUCAUGGAGCUGAAGUCAGUCGAAGAUACCAGCUGGCUGCAACUGUUUAUUAAAAACACAGCACUGUGCAAACACGAAAGUGGACGUAUACGGUGUGACGCCUGCCCGGUGCCGGAAGGUUAAUUGAUGGGGUCAGCGCAAGCGAAGCUCCUGAUCGAAGCCCCGGUAAACGGCGGCCGUAACUAUAACGGUCCUAAGGUAGCGAAAUUCCUUGUCGGGUAAGUUCCGACCUGCACGAAUGGCGUAAUGAUGGCCAGGCUGUCUCCACCCGAGACUCAGUGAAAUUGAACUCGCUGUGAAGAUGCAGUGUACCCGCGGCAAGACGGAAAGACCCCGUGAACCUUUACUAUAGCUUGACACUGAACAUUGAGCCUUGAUGUGUAGGAUAGGUGGGAGGCUUUGAAGUGUGGACGCCAGUCUGCAUGGAGCCGACCUUGAAAUACCACCCUUUAAUGUUUGAUGUUCUAACGUGGACCCGUUACCCGGGUUGCGGACAGUGUCUGGUGGGUAGUUUGACUGGGGCGGUCUCCUCCUAAAGAGUAACGGAGGAGCACGAAGGUUGGCUAAUCCUGGUCGGACAUCAGGAGGUUAGUGCAAUGGCAUAAGCCAGCUUGACUGCGAGCGUGACGGCGCGAGCAGGUGCGAAAGCAGGUCAUAGUGAUCCGGUGGUUCUGAAUGGAAGGGCCAUCGCUCAACGGAUAAAAGGUACUCCGGGGAUAACAGGCUGAUACCGCCCAAGAGUUCAUAUCGACGGCGGUGUUUGGCACCUCGAUGUCGGCUCAUCACAUCCUGGGGCUGAAGUAGGUCCCAAGGGUAUGGCUGUUCGCCAUUUAAAGUGGUACGCGAGCUGGGUUUAGAACGUCGUGAGACAGUUCGGUCCCUAUCUGCCGUGGGCGCUGGAGAACUGAGGGGGGCUGCUCCUAGUACGAGAGGACCGGAGUGGACGCAUCACUGGUGUUCGGGUUGUCAUGCCAAUGGCACUGCCCGGUAGCUAAAUGCGGAAGAGAUAAGUGCUGAAAGCAUCUAAGCACGAAACUUGCCCCGA